CCUACGGGUGGCAGCAGUAGGGAAUAUUGGACAAUGGGCGCAAGCCUGAUCCAGCCAUCCCGCGUGAAGGAUUAAGGCCCUCUGGGUUGUAAACUUCUUUUCUUUGGGAAUAAAAACUCCGAUUCAUCGGAGCUUGAAGGUACCAGAGGAAUAAGCACCGGCUAACUCCGUGCCAGCAGCCGCGGUAAUACGGAGGGUGCAGGAUUCAUCCGGAUUCACUGGGGCGAAGGUGUGCUUGGAUGGCAGUGGUGAAAGCCCGGAGCUCAACUCCGGAACUGCCAUUGAUACUGCUUAGCUUGAAUCAGGUCGAGGUGGAUGGAAUAUUACAUGUAGCGGUGAAAUGCUUAGAUAUGUAAUAGAACACCGAUUGCGAAGGCAGUUCACUAGGCCUGUAUUGACACUGAGGCACGAAAGCGUGGGGAUCAAACAGGAUUAGAUACCCCGGUAGUC
Molecule: ribosomal RNA, 450 nt
Filed under: uncultured bacterium
Lineage: Bacteria
Description: partial 16S ribosomal RNA
Rfam family: Bacterial small subunit ribosomal RNA
Source: RNAcentral